Molecule: long non-coding RNA, 4002 nt
Organism: Strigops habroptila (Kakapo)
Lineage: Eukaryota; Metazoa; Chordata; Aves; Psittaciformes; Psittacidae
Source: Ensembl
GUAAGUUUAUACAUAAAGUAAUUUAAUUUUACUGAGAAAAAUUACAGUAUAGAAGAAAAUGUCAAUUUAGUCAUAGUCUCUUAAAUAGUAUGCUUCAGUUUCUGAAUCAGUGAAUAACAAUCACAAUCAUUAGUACAGCAUUUAAUACAGAUGUUAUAGGUAGUUACAGAUUUUGUUUACUAAAAUUGAAGAGUUGAGUGAUGGCAAACUUUCUUCAAGAUAACAUAAAGGAAAUUGAAUAAAAUCUGUAACUUUACAUGGUUUUAACCCUAUUAGCUGUACAUACUUUCUACUUAAUUAGCAUUGAUAUACCACUUACAUACCAGUGAGGAAAAAAAUAGAUCAAGUUCUUGAACUUUAAACAAACAAGAGGAAGACAUAACCCUUCAUACAUGAGCCAUGUAAUGUAACACCAGCUCCCUAUUUUCUGUGAGGCAUGCAGUGCUGCACAGAAAAGUGGUAUCUUUGGGCAGCAAUACCUGAGCCAGCCUAGGUCCUGGAAUGCAUACAACAGUCUAGCAUGCCGAAAUUCAUGAACAAAACCCCACCUUCUGUGGAGUCUCUUUUGCUUUUUAAUGUUAAAGUGCCUUGCAAACCCAGCUAAACUGCUCCUCAGGACUGAAGUACAGCUUCCACAUACGGCAAUGCCGUGCAGACGUAGUAUAGUUACUUAAGGAUUCUGUUUUAAGUAUAGACAAGAAGUAUUUGCUGAGAGCUCUUAAUCAUGCAGUUUUGUGUACUCUUCCUGCAUAACAAGAGUAUGUAGCUAACCAGUAAGACAUAAAUGGUUCAUACAGCUAAUUUAGUAAUUUUGCUCAAGCAUGCUUAAAAAAAUUUGCAAAGUAAGUUUUUCUCACAGUGGGAAGUGAGUUAGAGAACUGGGUUUGCAGGAUCUAUUUUCUUAAAAAGCUAUAAAUGCCUUGUUUUAAAAUUACUCAUGCUCCAUAAGCUGUAAUCAUUUUCUUAAAGGCACAGAACUGUAAUGGAAAUGAGAAGCUGGUUCUUCUGAGAACAAUAUAAAGGCUUAACAGUGACAAAAUACUCCGUGGUGUUGUCAGUAAAUUUCAUAGUGGACCUACUCAAAUUCAAACAUUCUGUACCCUGUGAAAUAUUGAUAAUUACUUUAAAAACAAGCUUUUUUUUUUCCUGCAAGUACUGAAGGAGGAACUGAAAACACUUUUACUUCGUUCCCAGAAGUAUUCCAGAGCUGAUAACAAUCUAAAGAUAAGGGUUUCUGUAAAGCUGAAUCUAUACAAAAAGUCUAGCUUAACCUAAAAUUUUCGACGACAAACCAAGUUAAAACCCAAGCAUUUAAUUUUAAUGUAGUACUACUAAUCCAGAAUACUUUCUGUUGUACAAUCUUGAAUACAGCCAGUGAAAUUGCUACAUAUGGUAUCUUCCGUGUACAAUCUAGUCAAAACAGUGAAAUGCACACACAGCACAAAUCCUACUGCAUCAGUGCUUAUGUACAGGAUUAAGAACAGUGCAAACACUAGCAUUUAGCCUACUUUCAUUCUCAAACUACCCUAUUGCUGUCAAUACAUAAGAACAAAAACUAUUAUCAAGAGUAGUGAUGUUUCCAAGCCAAAUCUACUGUAAAAGCACCUUCAGUUAGUUUGUAGAAAUGUAUCAUAACUUAAAUAAAUUUGGUUGCUUCAAAAGCCAAAAUACGGUAUUAACAAAAACAAUCUAAAAUUAUGAAGUCAUGUAUAAGCACCAGAUUAUUUAACGUUUACAGUGCAAGACUCGAUUUCUUUAAAUAAAUUGAUCUUAAAUCCACAGGAGAGGCUAUUCUACCAGUUCUCAAUAAUGUUGAGCUUUCUAACACAGUUAGAGUAUAACCUCCUGGUUUAAAAGAUUAAAGCACCUGACUUCACCUCUGAAAAAAAUUCUGCUGCUCAGAAUUUACAAAAAAACCCAGGUAGGCGAGGAUUAAACAGCCCAAACAACUAGAAAGCCAGGCACCCAUGGAGCAGCAGUGCUGUCUUGCAUCACAGGACAUUAGGGCUUGGAUUCUUAGUGUAGACUUGCUCUUCACACCGAAUGACAGGACUGCUGCUAUGAACUGCAAAUCCAAAAAAGCAACUCUACUACAGUAAGUAAAAGUUGAAAAAAAAAAUUUCUUAAUCUAAAAUGACAAUGCAAGAGCAAGUCUGUUAAGAAUAGCCAGACCUGAAGCCUGCUUUGUUUUUAAAAAGAACUGUUAAUAACAGCCACAGGUAGGUGAAGGAAAAACACAGAAAGUAGAGUUCUCAGAACACCAAAUUAGGAAAGUUGGAGCACAGCAGAGAAGUCUGGAACUGUGACUAGACCCAGAAUCUUACUGGAAGCUAUUUAUGCAAGUUUGGUCUAAAGAAUUUACAUUGUGUUAAAAAAAUAUUUUAAUUGUGUAAUAAACAAAGCUAUUGCCCUUUUUUUUCCCAGUACCACUGUUUCCAGACUUCAAACUGUAUAUGACACAGCUACUUUCAAAAGCAUGCAUGUCAGUUGGUCAAAGAGUGGAAGUUAACAACACUUCAGCACAGAACAUACAUCAUUCCAUCAGCCAGAUGACUCUUCAGUCUGAGUUCAAAGUUCAGAGCGUUCUGUGAAGGACAGUGCUAAAAAUCUCACACUAAAACAGGUAGUUUAUGUAGUACUAGAAACCACAAACUAGUACUAGAUUCCCAGCACCCACACAUUUGUAGUUUUUUCGUUAAAUGUUUGUUUAUUCCGCAAGUUCUUUAAGUUCAAGAAUAUUGCAUGACCAUUUAUAAUCUGAAUAAUCCCAUACAGGCAAGCAUUUCUAAAUGAGCAAUGUUUGGUUUUCAAGUAUCUUGAUAUCAGCUCUCCAGUUUGACAUGCACACAGUUGUUUCUCUGUGUCUAGCUCCCGUAAAAUAAAAGCUCAAGGAACUAAAUUCUGUAUCUCAGUUGUUAUUUCUUCACUGUUUUACAGAGGAUAAUGUAAACUAUACUUCUGAACUUAAAAGUAAUUAUAAAAGGAUGGUGAAAUAAAAACAACAUGGACAAUAGUAAACAAUUUAAAAUGUUCACAGUGCAGGGCAUAAUGGAACCCAUAAGGUAGAUCACAUGCCACCACACUUAUAUUGUUUUAAAAAUCUUACUGAGAAAGCAGAAAGCAAUGCUACAACAAGAAACAGUACCCUUAUACAAAAAAAAGUAAAAUUUAUUGCAUAUUUAUCACAUUUAUUUGCAACUCACAUUAAGGCUAGAUUUACUAAAAUCAUGACAUAUGUAUAAACCCCACUUUGGGUUGCUUAAUGAAGCAACCAAUUUCUCUUACACUGAACCAAUCUUUCACUAAGAAGAGAAAAAAAAAAAUGACCCAGUGAAUACAGAGGGCAGGCAGCCUCUCCUAUUUAUAGGACACGCUUGCUUUGUUCAACAGAUUUCCUCUGUCUGGGAGUUGAUUUCCCAAAUAGUUGACAGAAACUCCAAAUUCACUGUUUCAUUAACAUCCCCUUUAUUUACAGAACACUAGAUGAAAAAUAACUAAUUUAUCUGAAAAGUCAACUUAUUUAUUAAAGAUUUCCACAGCCUGAUAUUUAAUCAUGCCUUAGGAGAGUCUUACUAACUCCACAGGCAGUAGCAGCCUAAGGUUAUGAAUACAAACUUCUGCCUCACCAUGAGUAAAGGCACUUUUGCUGGGAAAUCAACUACUUGCACUAAAGAAGUAACUAAAGAUUAGUUUUCACCUGAAGCUGAGUAACAUAACCUCUUCCAGCAUUAUCCCACCUUCUCAAUUACUGCUUUUUGCCAUUUACUGUUUUGAACAGCCUUUGGAUACUUUUUUUCUUUUUACAAAGUGAGACAAAGCUAGAUUGAGCUAUUUCACCAUUUGGUCUUGAAAGACAAGGCCCUCAGGACUCUUGUCUUCCAGAAGGAGGAAAUGCUGCAGUCUGUUUCUCCUGACUGAUACAGAAGUCCAGCAUUCCUACCACCAAGAUUAUUACAGCAUUAAGAGUCCCAAACCACCUGGUGCCAGGCAAGUAAAUAAACC